GUAGGGAAUCUUCGGCAAUGGACGAAAGUCUGACCGAGCAACGCCGCGUGAGUGAAGAAGGUUUUCGGAUCGUAAAACUCUGUUGUUAGAGAAGAACGUUGUGUAGAGUGGAAAAUUACACAAGUGACGGUAUCUAACCAGAAAGGGACGGCUAACUACGUGCCAGCAGCCGCGGUAAUACGUAGGUCCCGAGCGUUGUCCGGAUUUAUUGGGCGUAAAGCGAGCGCAGGUGGUUUAAUAAGUCUGAUGUAAAAGGCAGUGGCUCAACCAUUGUGUGCAUUGGAAACUGUUAGACUUGAGUGCAGUAGAGGAGAGUGGAAUUCCAUGUGUAGCGGUGAAAUGCGUAGAUAUAUGGAGGAACACCGGUGGCGAAAGCGGCUCUCUGGACUGUAACUGACACUGAGGCUCGAAAGCGUGGGUAGCAAACAGGAUUAGAAACCCGGGUAGUCC
Molecule: ribosomal RNA, 450 nt
Filed under: uncultured bacterium
Lineage: Bacteria
Description: partial 16S ribosomal RNA
Rfam family: Bacterial small subunit ribosomal RNA
Source: RNAcentral